RNAcentral lists this ribosomal RNA (496 nucleotides) under uncultured bacterium. RNAcentral describes it as "partial 16S ribosomal RNA". It matches the Rfam family "Bacterial small subunit ribosomal RNA", at positions 29 to 507 of the family's 1533-position model. The record is from RNAcentral.
AUGAACGCUGGCGGCGUGCCUAAUACAUGCAAGUCGAGCGAACAGACGAGGAGCUUGCUCCUCUGACGUUAGCGGCGGACGGGUGAGUAACACGUGGAUAACCUACCUAUAAGACUGGGAUAACUUCGGGAAACCGGAGCUAAUACCGGAUAAUAUAUUGAACCGCAUGGUUCAAUAGUGAAAGACGGUUUUGCUGUCACUUAUAGAUGGAUCCGCGCCGCAUUAGCUAGUUGGUAAGGUAACGGCUUACCAAGGCAACGAUGCGUAGCCGACCUGAGAGGGUGAUCGGCCACACUGGAACUGAGACACGGUCCAGACUCCUACGGGAGGCAGCAGUAGGGAAUCUUCCGCAAUGGGCGAAAGCCUGACGGAGCAACGCCGCGUGAGUGAUGAAGGUCUUCGGAGCGUAAAACUCUGUUAUUAGGGAAGAACAAAUGUGUAAGUAACUAUGCACGUCUUGACGGUACCUAAUCAGAAAGCCACGGCUAACUACGUG